CGAAAUAUUUUGGUCAGAGUUAAAACAAACCAACGUUAAUGAUUGUGAGGUCAAAUACACUCAACCAUCCAUCCUGAUUCCAAAGAGGGGUUGAGGGAACAGACACGAUUUCCCCGAUGAACAGACAUAAACCUACAGGUAGUUCAGUGUUUGAGGAAACAACCAUUGAAUAGAUUUUCUGAUGUGAAGCACAAUGUGCUCGGAAGCAGAGGCUCAUCAACGGGACAGGAUCUCAACUCAAGGUCCGCUGGUUUUACAAAGCGCCUUCAGGUACAUGCUGCAGUCCUUUUCACACCUCCACACCUGCCGCAUUAGGUGGAAUUAUUCCACAUUGAAAUGGCACAAAAUAUCUGGUAAGUAAGUGAGGUUAAGUACCUUCAGUCAGGACGGUUUCGUCAAAGUUCAACCUUGGGUUUACUGGAGGGGAUCGGCUUAAUGGAAGCCACCUGCAGGUGUUGGGUUCCCUUGUGUGUGUCUGUGUGUGUCUGCCCAGCUGCUCUCCAUCAUAUCACCACUCCACAGCAAUCUGCCCCUUUCCCAUCCGCUCUUCAGUGGUAAACAACGCGUGCUGGGCUGUACGAGUAAUUUAAAGUAAUUUAAAGUAUUGACUAGUGUUGCACGGUGUACCGGUACUAGAAAGGUACCGCGGUACCCAUACGUUGAAAACAAUACGGUUUUGAAUAUUUUUAGUACCAGUACUUUAAGAAAAGCAGCAAUUGUAGCGCACUGACUGUCCCGCUCCGUGUCGGGCUGCCUGCACACAUCGACUGAACGGCUCUCACACAUGUUGUCAGGGGAGACGCGCCCUCUCGUAGCAGACUGCUCACCCAUAUACAGCCUAACACCAUUAGCCUUAGCCUAGCUUAGCUCGGGUGACCAGACGUCCUCUUUUACCCAGACGCAUUUUUUAGGUCUCGAAAAGAGGAAAUGUCCGAGUAUAAGAGGACGUCUGCUUUGUCUUGUGUUGCAUUGCUUGAUGUUUGACUGUUUGGAAAAUUGUUGACUUGCUAGUUUGUCAUAAACAAAGUAAGUUUAGCCGCUAGCAGACAUCUCGUUAGCAAUGUUAGCAAGCUUGUUAUAAAACGCUAGCAUAGUGAUGCUAGUAUUAAGUGCUCUCGAGUCGGCUUCUUUGUAAUGUUAUAGGGACACUUUUCACUAAACCUUGGAGUGAGACGUUGGGGGUGAAGCUACGGCUGACGGGGGUGUAAGUUACGCUACGUGCGGCGAAUCGGGUUAUAGAUGCGCCGUUUAGAUGAACCAGCGCAGAUUCUUUUUUUUUUGCGUAAUAAAUUGGAUGUGUGGCGUGAGUGCGUGUGAAAACAUGGAAACACGCGUGUCACACGGGGAAACCGUGAGAGUUGGCAGCCCUGUAGCUUUGUUGCUAGCUUGACAACAACUUAACACAGUCAAACAUCAAGCAACACAAAACAAAGCAAGACCCCAAAUAAGUUCCUGAAUAGUCCAGCAGAAAUAUAUACAUGCAACAUAACCUACAAUUUCACUCAUGUGGGCCGAUAUGAUCAUGAGGUCAGAAUGCACACAAAAUUGUACCAAAUAAUACACACUUGAUGCAAUAGGCUACAUGCUAGUGGAUCUUCACCUAAUCCUUUUUAUUUUGAGUUAAGGAAAUUUCUGAGAAUCUGAGAAUAGCAAACUAUGCAAGUAAAUAAAGCAUUGUUCAUCCCACAGACAGUCAAACAGAUAUCAGGUAAAAAAAGGAACCAAUGUUUUAUUUAUUACUAUCAUAGAUAAAUAUAUUCCAUUAUCCUAUUUGUGGUAUCGUAUCGGAAGUAUCGGAAGCCGUAAUAUUUUGGCAGGUAUAGUAUCGAAGUCAUAGUUUUGGUAUCGUGACAACUCUAGUAUUGACCUCUCUUGUCUACGUGUGUGCACACAGUGUUUCUGGAUCAUCCUCCUGAUGAGGUCAUGACAGCACACCCUGAUGAGGUCAUGACAGCACACCCUGAUGAGGUCAUGACAGCACAUCCUGAGCGAACCGCUGCAGCUGCCCCAAACCACCACCUGUUUGACCACAACUUGCUGCCCAUCAUCUUCACCAGCACCACCACCAUCUUCACCACCAUCAUCGUCAUCACCACCAUCUUCACCACCACCAACAUCAUCACCACCAUCAUCACCACCAUCUUCAUCUUCACCACCACCACCAUCUUCACCACCAUCUUCACCACUAUCACCACCAUCAUCUUCACCACCACCACCACCACCAUCUUCACAGCCACCAACAUCAUCACCACCAUCUUCACCAUGACCACCAUCAUCAUCACCACCAUCAACAUCAUUACCACCAUCUUCACCACUAUCACCACCACCAUCUUCACCACCACCAUCAUCCUCACCACCAUCUUGACCAAUACCACCACCACCAUCUUUACCAUAACCACCAUCAUCAUCACCACCACUAUCACCACCACCAUAUUCACCACCACCAUCAUCUUCACCAUCAUCAUCCUCACCACCAUCUUGACCACCACCAUCUUUACCAUGACCACCAUCAUCAUCACCACCACUAUCACCACCACCAUAUUCACCACCACCAUCAUCCUCACCACCAUCUUGACCACCACCAUCAUCACCACCACCAUCUUCACCACCACCACCACCAUCUUCACCACGACCACCAUCAUCAUCGACAUCAUCAGCUCAGAUGGAGACAGCAGGUGCUUCGCCCAAAUACCGCAGCCUGGCACGGCGGGGCACGUGUCAACCGACGGGGUGUCUUACCGGUCCCCUCCUCUUCAGAGAGAUGUUCUUCCACAGCAGGAGAUGGAGCUGGUGCAGGAAUCCCAUUUUGCUUCGGUCCCGUUGUGUCACUCAACGGAGCAGAUUAGCUCGCCGGUACCGGCGGCGGCCUGUGACUGGAUGUGAAUAACCGGGGAUUCUGUGCCGGUGCCGAGCAUCCCGCCCGAGCCUGUUGUUGCGGUGCUGAGAUGCGCAGGUUCUGCUAACGAUCAGUAUUAAGAAGCUCGCGUUUCUCGCUUUGUCGCAGUCGUAACGGGACCGACUGGUUCCCGUCUGUCAUCCUCUGCGGUCCGAGCAGCGCGGCGAGCUGCUCCUCCGGUUCACUAGUGCACCAGGGACGCGAAGGGGACGCGCAGACAGCCGCUGUUAAGCUCACCGGAGGAAUAAAACCACUUCCGGCCUGCCCUUUAGAAACAAAAGCCCCGCCAGCUCAGCGAUGGACCAGGGCUUGUAACGCCUGCACCGUUAAAUAUAAUAAAAAGCCCUCUUAUUUUAAUAAUGAAAUAUCAGUUGUGAUUUUGUGAGUAGAAUCAAAAGCAUUCAGUCAUUUCAUGGGACUACGUCAGCCUCAUAAAGGGACGGGGAGCGUUAUGACCAACAGAUGUCCCGUCUCUCUGUCACGUCCAGUCACACAGCUGCUAUUACCUUUAUCUGCUUUAUCUUCCUCAGAAGGCCUUCACACGUUAUGCAGUCAUCCAAUGUUUAGUUAUAUCUAUAAGAUGCUAAAUAGAUGGUUAAUGUUGUAAUAUCAUGAUUAUAAGUAUAUUCAAAUAUCUGACUUGAUUAAUGACCAUAACAGUCAAACUCCACUUUGUCCUGAAGGAAGAUGUGAUGUCGCCGAGAAUUUGUUGCCAAAUGCAAAAGACAGGGCAAAAUGACACACAAAAAGGCCUGUUGAGGCACUGCAGCAUUUCUCAUCCGCUUACGUGACAUUUGAUUGAUGCCAAACACUUUGGUACUGACUUAAAGAUACUGCACCAGACGUGGGAGUCCGUUGUGUAAUAGUGAGUGUCGGGGGACGGUUGUUCGUUAGUUAAAGGGGUCAUAAAAUGUUGUGGAGUAUAAAGCGUUAUUUCCAUUUGAAAUACAGAAAUGAAAGAAUACUCAAAUAAAGUAUAAGGAAGAUUGUACUGAGUUACAGUGCAUUGAUGUGCUAAUAUAAUGUCGGUAGCGCUUCUGGCUGUAUUGAUGUACUAAACCCAUGUUACAUGCCGGUUUAAAAGAGACACUGGCAGCACUCAAGGCUUGUGUCUGUCCUCUAUGUUUGAGUGUCCUUUACAAACUGACACAUCUUUGGCAUAUGGAAGCACUAUUAUUGCAAACAAGUAGAAUAUCCAGGAGUUGAGUCUACUUUCACAAAAAAAGAGAGUUGUCAGGGUGUGAUGCACGGGGGUGUCAAUAGACAGUCAACAGUACACAAUAGAUCUAGACAAAAUGUGUUUGGAGAGACAUUUGUCCGACAAGAGACACAGCAAACAAGCAACAAAAUGCAGAAAACGCCUGGUUUUCAUUUUAAAUUGUUGUUUCACUUUAUUCUGAAAGUCUAGCUUCCUGUCUCCAUAAAUGAUAGCGGAAUCCUGUAAAACAUCAGGACGAGAUGUUGUCAAUCAGUGGACACUGGAGGACCACACAGGACAGAGGACAGUGACACCCCCAAAGCUCCAGGAACAGAUGCAUUUCCAUGUUAUUUGACUUGUGUAACACAUUGUUUUGUAGCAGCGGAGAAUGACUUGGGUCACGUGUCUGUCGGACAGUGAGCCUGUGAACAUGUUCCGAUGGAGCUCUGAGGUGAGACCUGUUCUCAGCAGGAACCGGAACGUUCCGUGGUUGCCGUGGUUACCGGAAUGUUCGUCUUCAAACUCACAUUGGAUCGGUCAGAGAAGCAGACAUCUCUACUCUCCCACGAAACCUUCAGACAGAUUCUCUGCCCCCAGAAGUCCACCAGAGACCAUCUGACGAAGUGUACAGAACCUUCUGCAGCACAGAAGUGAGAUUUAUACACUUUUAAAGCCACUGUUGUUUCAUGUAUUUUACCGGUGACCCCAGAUGUUUAUGCUAAUCUUUGUGGUCAUAUUUUCAAUGGUUAGUGCAACUUAAACUACUGGAAACGACUUGUGGGUUUAUCUAAACUAAGGCGACGACUUGUGGGUUUAUCUAAACUAAGGCAACGACUUGUGGGUUUAUCUAAACUAAGGCAACGACUUGUGAGUUUAUCUAAACUAAGGCAACGACUUGUGAGUUUAUCUAAACUAAGGCAACGACUUGUGAGUUCAUCUAAACUAAGGCAACGACUUGUGAGU
Molecule: long non-coding RNA, 5057 nt
Organism: Gasterosteus aculeatus aculeatus (three-spined stickleback)
Lineage: Eukaryota; Metazoa; Chordata; Actinopteri; Perciformes; Gasterosteidae
Source: Ensembl